Molecule: ribosomal RNA, 378 nt
Filed under: uncultured bacterium
Lineage: Bacteria
Description: bacterial SSU rRNA
Rfam family: Bacterial small subunit ribosomal RNA
Source: RNAcentral
UAAUACGUAGGGUGCAAGCGUUAUCCGGAAUUAUUGGGCGUAAAGAGCUCGUAGGCGGUUUGUCGCGUCUGCUGUGAAAACUGGAGGCUCAACCUCCAGCCUGCAGUGGGUACGGGCAGACUAGAGUGCGGUAGGGGAGAUUGGAAUUCCUGGUGUAGCGGUGGAAUGCGCAGAUAUCAGGAGGAACACCGAUGGCGAAGGCAGAUCUCUGGGCCGUAACUGACGCUGAGGAGCGAAAGCAUGGGGAGCGAACAGGAUUAGAUACCCUGGUAGUCCAUGCCGUAAACGUUGGGAACUAGAUGUAGGGACCAUUCCACGGUUUCUGUGUCGCAGCUAACGCAUUAAGUUCCCCGCCUGGGGAGUACGGCCGCAAGGCUA